CCUACGGGUGGCAGCAGUGGGGAAUAUUGCACAAUGGGGGAAACCCUGAUGCAGCGACGCCGCGUGAGUGAAGAAGUAUUUCGGUAUGUAAAGCUCUAUCAGCAGGGAAGAAAAUCACGGUACCUGAUCAAGAAGCCCCGGCUAACUACGUGCCAGCAGCCGCGGUAAUACGUAGGGGGCAAGCGUUAACCGGAUGUACUGGGUGUAAAGGGAGCGUAGACGGAGGGACAAGUCUGGAGUGAAAUGCCGGGGCUUAACCCCGGGACUGCUUUGGAAACUGUUCAGCUGGAGUGCAGGAGAGGUAAGUGGAAUUCCUAGUGUAGCGGUGAAAUGCGUAGAUAUUAGGAGGAACACCAGUGGCGAAGGCGGCUUACUGGACUGUAACUGACGUUGAGGCUCGAAAGCGUGGGGAGCAAACAGGAUUAGAUACCCGUGUAGUC
RNAcentral lists this ribosomal RNA (440 nucleotides) under uncultured bacterium. Its description in RNAcentral is "partial 16S ribosomal RNA". It matches the Rfam family "Bacterial small subunit ribosomal RNA", at positions 338 to 795 of the family's 1533-position model. The record is from RNAcentral.